RNAcentral lists this ribosomal RNA (2752 nucleotides) under Triticum aestivum (bread wheat). Its description in RNAcentral is "partial small subunit ribosomal RNA". The record is from RNAcentral. Lineage: Eukaryota; Viridiplantae; Streptophyta; Magnoliopsida; Poales; Poaceae.
CCCGGAUGAUGGGUGGCCGACGGCGGAGGGUAGGGUCUCUUUUUGCUCGAGUUUAGGCGACAAAAAAGAAAAGAGCUGAACGAGGACGAGCGAGCCGGGACCGGUAAAUACGCGCCUGUGUGCAAGAAGAGUCGUUAUUUGUUGCGGUCGCCCCGGCUAGCAACGAGCAAGGCGUAGGGCUAGGCGCCGAGGAGUAGUUCUCAGCAGCAGCAGUGAGGCCGAGGAGCGCCGGCCAAGAAACGAACGGAGGUUCUUUGGCAGCCGAACCGAAGAGUAAGGGCAGGGUUUAGGCAGGACAAUUAUCCGGGUCGAGUCGAAGAACGUAAUCGAAGAAGAGCCCCGCCUGAGAUCAAGAUCACACAACUAAACCUAACCUCAAAACCCCGUCCACGACGUUCGUUACCGCCUCCACGCCUCGGCCCACGCCCCCAAGGACGCCUUGGCCACCGACCACAAGCACCGCCGCUACACCUACGUCAGCCAGCGGCCCCACCCCAUGGACAAGCCGUCGGACAGCGGCCGCUAGUUCAGGAGCGAACCGAUGUUGGUCGCGGUCCACCGGUCGGAGCCGCAGCGGUUCCUAGACCCUCUGUCGCAGCCGAAGGAGCGGCCGUGCGAGACGCGGCACGAGGGCGAGACCCGGCGCGAGGAGUAGCCGCGGCGCGUCUUGGAGCAGCCUAUGCCGACCCAGACCGAGCGGCAGUGGGUGGCGCAGGGGCACGGUGGCGAGACCCGCUACACGUACGAUUAGAAACAACCUUUAUUACCACUCUGUAUGAAGUUAUGACGACGUGAGCAGAGUACACAAGUCUUGAAAGGGUUCUUGGCACCUGGUUAGCAACCAUAGGAGUUCCCUAAACGACCAAACUCACCACGUUAGAAUUGUGUCCAAAUACGUUAUUACGUGUGCGGACUACUACGGCGUGACUAUAAGUACCAACGACAACCGGGUUGUUACCAUCAGUAGCGAAAUUACAAGUAACAAUCUGGUCAAUUACCAGUGUCUGUUCAUGCCGGUAGACUACCAUGUUCAAAGUGCAAACAUAUGUCGCAGACGAAUCAGAACCGGCGGAUAGACUACCCACACUACGACGACCUUCUGGAACAACCGAACUCGGUGAGUAACUGUUAGAACACAUGGUAGUAAGAUUACCAAGAAAACGAUCAAGGUUAUCAGUAGGGACAUUACGACUCGAAGAAGAGUUUACUGCUGCUCUCACGGAUGUGCCGCGACAAUUGUAGUGGAGCCUCUCUUCUUCGUUCACCAAGUCAUAGCAGACUUCUCGUUCUUCAAUAUGAGUCGCUCCACCUGCUCGUUUUUGGCUUUCUUUAACUAGAUGAAGGUCGGAGACUCUCCGUUUUCUCCUAACGGCUUAACGUCCGAUUCGAUAAGGUCCGUCGACGACAACCACGGCAAUCCCAAUUUUCCUCCUUUCCAGGUGCUGCUCCUCUCCUAAAGUGCAACGACGUCCGUUACUAGUUCCGUCUAAAAACCGAAGAUAAAAAGAGGGAAGACAACCCCAGUCCUAGUCCAGAAUGACACUAACUAUUAGAACCCGUUUACUCAGUCAGUAACCCAAAACUCCUAAGAGUGUAAAAACACAGUUACUAAUCGUAAACCUUGAAGGAACCUGCAUAAAGACCCCCGAAGAAAAGUCUCUAAUAACAGUUCCUAAUGCGCAUAGGUUCCCGUUAACGGAACCGCUGUCGAGUUCAUAAGUACCGUUAACCUGUGAAGUAGAAGCGUUACCCAACCGGGCCGUGUUACAUGUAACCGUGUAACGAAUAGCCCGAGCCCAUGCCGCGGGUGACCCGCUAGCACGGUCGACGACGGAGGCUUGAUAAACCGCACUUCUUAAAGCCUCGUAACAUGUUGAAGGAAUGUCAGCGUUUGGGGCGUCCGAGGGACCAAAAGAGCCCGUAGUAACGGUCACCGUAGAUGCUGAUGCUUCGGUCCUUCGUUCGAUUGGUAUUGGUGAGUUGUAACGACCCUUACCAGAGGCUGCAGCGAGGCCGCGACUUCACGCUCCCGAGGUAGACGAAGAAGUAGAGCAGUUACUAGUACAGUCCCAAGACGUAGUAACGACGGCGGGACUCGAACUAGGACCAGGUGGCCUGUUUCUAGCACAUGUGCUUAGACAUGCCAUUUGGGGCCUGUACUCUCUAGUUUCCAGUAGCUCCUGUCUAGUUUCGAUUCCAUAGUUUCGUCUUCCCACUUCAAAUAAAAAAAAACGCAGAAGGAAGACAAAUACCUGAAGCGUAUAAGAAUACCACAGUUUUGGUACCGAUGACCACCGAUGCCUACCCUUCGCAUACCACAAAAACACGCAAAACAGGCUUGAAGAAGCCACAAAAAACCCCCCUAUACUUGAAGAAGUCACAACUCGACCUUGAAACGUAUAUGUACACCAGACAAGAUACAAAGUAGUUCCGACAACUUUUGAACUUUACGUUAUUUAACAGACUCGAGACGUUUAACCUCUCGAGUUGGAACAUGUACCACCACAGGAUUCAGACUCUUUGGUGUACUAUCGACACAUAAACAAAGGAUACUUAGACCGACCUCGUGGCAGAAAGUAAAUAUUUCUAACCGAUCCGACGGAGGAGUCAUAUACGAAUUUUAAAAGAAUAAUUAGGUACAAGAUCAAUAAUCAUCAUCAAAAAAAGGAUGAUCCUUAAAGAAAUAAAGCAAACAUCACCUACGUCAUCACGAAACCCGUCAUACGUCAUGUGAGUGAUCUAUAUAAGAUAG